RNAcentral lists this ribosomal RNA (429 nucleotides) under uncultured bacterium. RNAcentral's name for it is "bacterial SSU rRNA". It matches the Rfam family "Bacterial small subunit ribosomal RNA", at positions 355 to 776 of the family's 1533-position model. The record is from RNAcentral.
UGGGGAAUAUUGGACAAUGGGCGCAAGCCUGAUCCAGCAAUGCCGCGUGUGUGAAGAAGGCCUGCGGGUUGUAAAGCACUUUCAGUGGGGAGGAAGGUCUUGGUACUAAUACUGCCAAGAAUUGACGUUACCCAAAGAAGAAGCACCGGCUAACUCUGUGCCAGCAGCCGCGGUAAUACAGAGGGUGCAAGCGUUAAUCGGAAUUACUGGGCGUAAAGGGCGCGUAGGUGGUUGAUUAAGUCAGAUGUGAAAUCCCUGGGCUUAACCUAGGAAUUGCAUUUGAUACUGGUCGGCUAGAGUGUGGGAGAGGGAAGUGGAAUUUCCAGUGUAGCGGUGAAAUGCGUAGAUAUUGGAAGGAACACCAGUGGCGAAGGCGACUUCCUGGACCACUACUGACACUGAGGCGCGAAAGCGUGGGGAGCGAACAGG